This is a long non-coding RNA of Dendronephthya gigantea, 1503 nucleotides long. RefSeq lists it as uncharacterized. The record is from RefSeq and is a predicted model, not a curated record. Lineage: Eukaryota; Metazoa; Cnidaria; Anthozoa; Malacalcyonacea; Nephtheidae. The transcript has 3 exons.
UAAAGCAUUUAAAGUUUUUCGUGACAAAGUAUCUCACAGGAAAACUAUGCCAGGAUGUUGUUGAUAGCGUAAAUGCAGACAAGAUGGGAUAUAUCAAUGAGAUUCACCAACCUAAUUUGGAACGGCAAUCUCAAUAAUCCCGAGAGCAAAGACUUUAUGGAACAAGCCCGUCAGAUUGAGAGUGCAGUACGUGGAGUUCUAAAGAGUGAUGCAACGUUUCGUACAGUCAAAGUGGAAAAAUUUUCUCGAUGAAGUGUUGUUAGUAAUCUAAAAAUAAAUUAUGUGGCUGGCACAGUCUUCACUACCCCGAUAGACACCCUGACGAAGGCUGCAGCUGAUGGUGAAAUUGGUAACCUUACAGUAGACAACUCAUCAUUAGACAUUGUUAAUUAUACAUGUGACACACCUCUUGGGAUGGAAAACCAUCGCAUUCCUGACAGCGCCCUUAGUUCAGCAAACCAGAUAAUUAUCAUCCAUUUACAAAUGCUCGUUUAAACCAUAAUGGACCUGGUUGGACUCCGCGAGUUAAUCGUAUUGAAGAUGCAUAUCUACAGGUUGAUUUCGGGGAAGUUGUUCAGCUAACAGGCAUUGCCACGCAAGGGUCUUCAUAUGGUGGAGAAAGCUGGCUACAAUCCUAUCUGUUUGACUAUAGCGUUGACAGCAGGAUAUGGGUAGAAUAUAAAGAAGAUAUACAGAUAAUUAUGCUAUGACAUUUUUAGCAAACUCUGAUGUGAAUACGGCUGUGCGAAAUGACCUAAAGAAUCCAGUGAGAACAAGAUAUUUGAGAGUUAAAAAAGAACACGAAUGUCGUUAUUAGAGUUUUCGUUGUGAGUUUUAUGGUUGCCCUAUACCAAAUGUUGGAAUGUUACCAACGUUUGUGCCUUUUAACCCAACCCAGAAUAAAGGUAAAAGGCCCUGGAAACGAAGUUGUUCUCGCCCUACAAAUCAACUCAACUCAACAGGUACGAAGAAGCAUAAAACUGACGAAAAAUCCCCGAAAAAUAUUUAUUAUUAUCAUUAGAAUUUCUUUAACAACGGUAGCUCUUCAGUCUAGGCUGAUUUUCAACAGGCCGUUGGUAUUUAAGCUAUGUACAAAUAAUUGAUUACAAAUGACUUAAAACUAAACACUCUAUUAAAACUAUUACACAAUUUAGGGGGAAAAAAGAAAGAAAGUGAAAAAAUGGAAUAAAAUAUCUCACAAACCCCAUGCUUCAAGAUAAUGUACAUCUAGUCAUGAUGUUGGUGAUGGUGAUCAGAAGGAUAGUAAAACUGAUUUGAUUGUUGGUCUUGUUCUUGGUAUCUCAGCCGUGUUUAUACUCGCCAUUGUUAGUUUGGCAAAUUAAAAGACGUAAGAUAACUCGAUCGUUUGGUGCCGAAGAGUCUAUAGUGAUGAAACAAACAGUGAAUCCUGAUAUCACUGAUCUAAUAUAGUAAAUACAUUAUAAGUUCUUGUAAUUCCUUACAUCACGCAGUUAAUUCAUUCGUUGAUUAUUUAAAGUACUU